RNAcentral lists this ribosomal RNA (814 nucleotides) under uncultured bacterium. Its description in RNAcentral is "bacterial SSU rRNA". It matches the Rfam family "Bacterial small subunit ribosomal RNA", at positions 93 to 893 of the family's 1533-position model. The record is from RNAcentral.
GAGUGGCGAACGGGUGAGUAACACGUGGGCAACCUGCCCAAAAGAGGGGGAUAACACUUGGAAACAGGUGCUAAUACCGCAUAACCAUAGUUACCGCAUGGUAACUAUGUAAAAGGUGGCUAUGCUACCGCUUUUGGAUGGGCCCGCGGCGCAUUAGCUAGUUGGUGGGGUAAAGGCUUACCAAGGCAAUGAUGCGUAGCCGAACUGAGAGGUUGAUCGGCCACAUUGGGACUGAGACACGGCCCAAACUCCUACGGGAGGCAGCAGUAGGGAAUCUUCCACAAUGGGCGAAAGCCUGAUGGAGCAACGCCGCGUGGGUGAAGAAGGUCUUCGGAUCGUAAAACCCUGUUGUUAGAGAAGAAAGUGCGUGAGAGUAACUGUUCACGUUUCGACGGUAUCUAACCAGAAAGCCACGGCUAACUACGUGCCAGCAGCCGCGGUAAUACGUAGGUGGCAAGCGUUAUCCGGAUUUAUUGGGCGUAAAGGGAACGCAGGCGGUCUUUUAAGUCUGAUGUGAAAGCCUUCGGCUUAACCGGAGUAGUGCAUUGGAAACUGGGAGACUUGAGUGCNNAAGAGGAGAGUGGAACUCCAUGUGUAGCGGUGAAAUGCGUAGAUAUAUGGAAGAACACCAGUGGCGAAAGCGGCGCUCUGGUCUGUAACUGACGCUGAGGUUCGAAAGCGUGGGUAGCAAACAGGAUUAGAUACCCUGGUAGUCCACGCCGUAAACGAUGAAUGCUAAGUGUUGGAGGGUUUCCGCCCUUCAGUGCUGCAGCUAACGCAAUAAGCAUUCCGCCUGGGGAGUACGACCGCAAGG